CGGACGCUGGCGGCGUGCUUCAAACAUGCAAGUCGAACGGUAGUUAAUUUUGAAGCUUGCUUUAGAAUUUAACUUAGUGGCGGACUGGUGAGUAACGCGUGAGUAAUCUGCCUAUCACAGGGGGAUAACAGAGGGAAACUUCUGCUAAUACCGCAUAAGACCACAGGAUGGCAUCAUCAAGGGGUCAAAGGUUAGAUCUGGUGAUAGAUGAGCUUGCGUAUCAUUAGCUAGUUGGUGAGGUAACGGCCCACCAAGGCGACGAUCAGUAGCCGGCCUGAGAGGGUGAACGGCCACAUUGGGACUGAGACACGGCCCAAACUCCUACGGGAGGCAGCAGUGGGGAAUAUUGCACAAUGGGGGAAACCCUGAUGCAGCGACGCCGCGUGAGUGAAGAAGUAUUUCGGUAUGUAAAGCUCUAUCAGCAGGGAAGAAAAUGACGGUACCUGACUAAGAAGCCCCGGCUAACUACGUGCCAGCAGCCGCGGUAA
Molecule: ribosomal RNA, 488 nt
Filed under: uncultured bacterium
Lineage: Bacteria
Description: bacterial SSU rRNA
Rfam family: Bacterial small subunit ribosomal RNA
Source: RNAcentral